This 170-nucleotide ribosomal RNA is filed under the name Kryptopterus sp. MM-2017. RNAcentral's name for it is "partial 12S rRNA". Lineage: Eukaryota; Metazoa; Chordata; Actinopteri; Siluriformes; Siluridae. The record is from RNAcentral.
CACCGCGGUUAUACGAAAGACCCUAGUUAAUAGCUACGGCGUAAAGGGUGGUUAAGGAAUAUAAAAAAUAAAGCUAAAGACCCUCUAAGCCGUCAUACGCACCCCGAGGGCACGAAGCCCGUACACGAAAGUAGCUUUACACUCCACCUGACCCCACGAAAGCUAAGAAA